This 734-nucleotide long non-coding RNA is filed under the name Olea europaea subsp. europaea. The record is from RNAcentral. Lineage: Eukaryota; Viridiplantae; Streptophyta; Magnoliopsida; Lamiales; Oleaceae.
AUAAUAUUAUAAAAUUUAUCGACUCCCACCCCACGCCCACUACAGAACCUAAAAUAUUUCCAAUCCCUUCUCUCUUUUCCAUUCGCUCUUCUCUCAGAGGCCACCUCCGAUUUGGCGCUCAUAUAGCUACCACACGAAAUGGUCAUGAUGGAAAAAACGUCGCUACAUGCAGAAUCUUCUAUUCAUCUCAAUCUUCUCUCAUAGGACCGCUGUGCUCCUAGCUAAAGCCCUAGAUGAGGGAGUUACGCGACGUAGUAGAUUCAUAGGUGGAUGACACCCCUGGUUUUUUGAUAUGCCGCGAUCUAGUUUAUUGGGUUUGUUGGUAUACUAUGCCUGAAAUGAAGCCCUAGAUGGGCUAUGCGGCGGUGUAGAUUCGUUAAUUAAAGAUGUCGUUGGUUUGGCUAGUAUAUCGCGAUCUGGUGCACGAUGGCGCUAGUUUCGAGUUCUGUUGUUCAUCCGCCUGUUGUCGUUGCUUGGCACGAUUUGGUACUCGACGGUACUGCGCGUAAUCUGUGAUGACGGUGGUAUGUGUGCAUAGUUUGUGGUGGUACCGUAGUGGUGGCUUUUGUUAGGUUUGUUGGUUUUUGGAGUGGUGGUGGUUUUUCAUGUUCUGUUCCUAAGGUAGUUUUUGUUGACGAUGGCGAUGGCAGUGUUUAUGAUGGUAGCAAUGGCGUGAGCAACGACGAUGCACGAUGAUUGGGAUAAAGAAUAUUUGUGACCAAGUAUUAGUGGUG